This 333-nucleotide unclassified non-coding RNA is filed under the name soil metagenome. RNAcentral describes it as "partial contains 5.8S ribosomal RNA, internal transcribed spacer 2, and large subunit ribosomal RNA". The stretch from base 1 to 120 matches the Rfam family "5.8S ribosomal RNA", at positions 35 to 154 of the family's 154-position model. The record is from RNAcentral.
GAUGAAGAACGUAGCGAAAUGCGAUAAGUAAUGUGAAUUGCAGAAUUCCGUGAAUCAUCGAAUCUUUGAACGCACAUUGCGCCCGCCAGUAUUCUGGCGGGCAUGCCUGUCCGAGCGUCAUUUCAACCAUCAAGCCCCGGGCUUGUGUUGGGGACCUGCGUCCGACGCAGGCCCUGAAAACCAGUGGUGGGCUCGCUGUCCACACCGAGCGUAGUAACUAACCUCGCUAUGGAGUGGCGCGGGCGCCUGCCGUAAAACCCCCAAUUUUUACAAGGUUGACCUCGGAUCAGGUAGGAAUACCCGCUGAACUUAAGCAUAUCAAUAAGCGGAGGA